GGUUCCAAAGUGUAGCGGUUAUCACGUCUGCUUUACACGCAGAAGGUCUCCAGUUCGAUCCUGGAUGGAACCA
This 73-nucleotide transfer RNA is filed under the name Lucilia cuprina (Australian sheep blowfly). Its description in RNAcentral is "tRNA-Val for anticodon UAC". It matches the Rfam family "tRNA". From Rfam's summary of the family: Transfer RNA (tRNA) molecules are approximately 80 nucleotides in length. Lineage: Eukaryota; Metazoa; Arthropoda; Insecta; Diptera; Calliphoridae. The record is from Rfam by way of RNAcentral.